CAGGCUGCAACUCGCCUGCAUGAAGUCGGAAUUGCUAGUAAUCGCAGAUCAGCAUGCUGUGGUGAAUACGUUCCCGGGCCUUGUACACACCGCCCGUCACACCAUGGGAGUCGGUAACACCCAAAGUUGGUAGUCUAACCGCAAGGAGGACGCCGCCUAAGGUGGGAUUGAUGACUGGGGUGAAGUCGUAACAAGGUACC
This 200-nucleotide ribosomal RNA is filed under the name uncultured bacterium. Its description in RNAcentral is "partial 16S ribosomal RNA". It matches the Rfam family "Bacterial small subunit ribosomal RNA", at positions 1301 to 1500 of the family's 1533-position model. The record is from RNAcentral.